GAGAGAAAAGUUAGAAAUUUAGAUAGAGAAGAUCAAAGGAUACAUAAGGAGAUUCAGGCAUUAGAUAAGAAAAUUGUUCUUGUUGCUGGGGAUGGUUAUAGUCUAUCUGUGACUGGAAAUGUAGUAUAUCAGAGUGAUACUAGCAACAGCAGUUUACAGGGGAAUCUGCAACGUAUUUUUGAGGCCAUGGAGAAGUUCAUGGCUGAGUUAACAAAAGCUUAUGAGGAGCUGAUUCAGCGUAGUGAAGAAGAGAGGCUUGCUUGAGAGCACAAGAGAGUUUCAUAGGGCAGCAGUAUGGUGCAAUUGAAAUACAUCAUCUUUUUUGCACUUAUGACUUCACUUGUGAGAAAUUGAAGUGCAGGAUCUGACAGAACUAAUGAUACGGAGUUAAAAUGUUCCCUUCUGUGGUAAGUGGAGCACUCCUUGUUUGAGGUCUUCAAUUGAGGGUAGACUUCAUCAUGUGGUGGAUGAUGGUGGAUCUUGGCGCAGUGGCAACCCGUAUUACUGGCUUAGAUGUUGACAGAUCGAAUUGUGAGGGGGAUGAGAUGAUUUCAUUUCUCUUCCACCAGCAUUGGCUUUAAUCAUAUUGAUCCAACAAUUAUGAUUGAAUGACAAUAGGGAAUUGAUAAAAAGGGGCAAUGGACACAAGGUUAUGCCAAACUCAAAACCAUAUUUGGCCAUUGCGUAUGUUUUGCAAAAUGGAUGCCGGCUAGCUAAUAGGAUGUCAAUUGAUGUUGAUGACAUGUGGUGCUUGUUAAUGCAAUAUUGGCCAUUGAUUUGCAAUCAAGCCCCAUGCUUCGUGGAAGUAAGCAAGGCGGGAAUAAACUUGAUAAAUUGAAGAAAGCAGAUUUCCCCACAAUUUUGAUGAGUAUGCAUUCAGUUGUAGGUACAAGGGCUGUCUGGAAUGACGCAAGUCAGAGAAAUGCUCAGAUAUCAAAGUAACAUGGUUAAAGUUUUUUGCUUCCUUUUUUUUUUUUCAAAUAUUUGUUCAUAUUAAUCAUUGUACAGGCCUUUUCAAUGAAAAGACUUCCAAUAAAUGAGUAUUAAUGAAAAUGUGCCAAAGGUUUUA
Molecule: unclassified non-coding RNA, 1069 nt
Filed under: Hevea brasiliensis (rubber tree)
Lineage: Eukaryota; Viridiplantae; Streptophyta; Magnoliopsida; Malpighiales; Euphorbiaceae
Source: RNAcentral